RNAcentral lists this ribosomal RNA (375 nucleotides) under Triticum aestivum (bread wheat). RNAcentral's name for it is "partial small subunit ribosomal RNA". Lineage: Eukaryota; Viridiplantae; Streptophyta; Magnoliopsida; Poales; Poaceae. The record is from RNAcentral.
AUGGAGGACAACUGGAUUGUCUGGAACGUCAGGGGUUUGAAUAACCCGGCUAGGCGGACAGUAGUUAAGGUGUUGGUGUAUCGUAACAAUGUAUCCCUAGUGUGUUUGCAGGAGACAAAACUAUCGUUCAUUUAUAGGGUUGUGGUGAAUCAAUGUUGUGGCACUGAAUUCUCGACAUUUGCAUACCUAACGGCUGAGGGGUCAAGAGGAGGCGUGUUACUGGCAUGGAAAGGUGAUCAUUACACCGUGUCCAAUGUAACGGUGCAGGGGUGCUUGGUGACGGCAGCAGGAAACAAUGCUAAGGGGGGAGCCAGUGGGAAUUAUCGGAGUGUAUGGGCCACAAGACUGGGAAGAGAAACUUGCAUUCCUACGUGA